Long non-coding RNA from Vitis riparia (riverbank grape), 1408 nucleotides. RefSeq lists it as uncharacterized. The transcript has 3 exons. Lineage: Eukaryota; Viridiplantae; Streptophyta; Magnoliopsida; Vitales; Vitaceae. The record is from RefSeq and is a predicted model, not a curated record.
AACUUUUUCCAAUUUUCCUAACUAGUGACUAGAAGGAAUCUAAGGAUUUUAUUUGAAUAUGAUCCAAAAGCUUGCUCUCACCUAUGAAUUUAUGCUCUCUUACAUGCCUUUGUGACAUGUCCUCAAAGCUCAGCCAACUGCCUAAUAUGCAUUCAGUAUGCAUACUCAAUCAGGCUCGAUGACAGGAUUCGAAAAUCGAAUCACAAAAGAUAUUGCAAACUUGCAGGAAGAUGAAGCACUAGAGACAUACCAAAGAUCCUUAGCAUCCUUGAUUCCAAUCUGAAUAGAUGGGCUAGGUUAUGUGGACCAUGAGAAAUUGUACUACUUCCCCUGUCAGAACAGUGUGGGGCUUCUCGAUGAGUAUAAAGAUAUUUCAAUGCAAUCUUGAGUUUAUGCAAAGAGGGCAGGGCACUGGACAUGAUAGCUGAGAAAACAUGGUAAACGAAAAAGAGGAGCCAGAAAAAUCUUACAACAUAUGCACCGGCCUCAGAUUUCUCACCAAGAAGGAUAAUGACAGGGAGAAUGAUAGAAACAAUACAGUUAAGGGAGUCAAAUAUGGCUGCACUGACAAACAUGGCAGACUUUUCAACUGCCCAUAAGGGGUAUGUAUGUGCUUGAGGGGCUUUGGAGAAACAGGAAUCACAUAGGGAAAAGGCACUGCGGAUUGUGCAGGGCAGACAUCGCAUGACAACCAAGUAAAAAGUGGAGGUCAUGCUUUAAAAUUCCAAGCAAAUGCCGCCUCACUUGGAAAACUACAUUAAUCCCACGUUUUGGUGGAGGCUGUGUAGUAUAAUACCAUAUUGUCCAGUCAAGCACGUUUGUUCUAUUAAAGAACCUAGAAAGAAGAAGGGCCUCGCAAGUUGAAUGACGCAUUUCCCAUAACAAGACCACCAUUUCAUUUUCAAGAAUUCAUAGCUAUGCCCUUUGAUUCUUCCUCUCUUUAGGCCUUUCUAGGGCCUACAAGUCCUUGAGGAUAUCUCUUCUUUAAGGGCAAGUCUUCAAUUAAAAAAGAAAAAGAGACCAAAGAAAGUCACAUUUGAGUAGAGGACUGGAAUUCUAAGAACACUGUAAAUCAUUCUUAAAGAAAAUUAUCCCUUUGUCUACUUGUUUGUGCUUGAAAUCAGAUCGUCCUGGUUCACUGAUUGGCUAGGACCCACCAGCCAAUGGAGUAUCACACCAUUUUGUAUCAUUCAACUCACCUCAGGUAUUGAAAUCAUCCAAGUUUAUUCUGGUAAAACAUCAAAAGGGUGUCGUAACAACCAAAACUGAAAUGAUUAAAGACUCAUGGUUUGAUAGAUCCCAUUUGGUACGCUAAAUAAAAUCCAUCAUUUGGUGGAUGCCCUUGAUGAGAGAAACACUGUUUUAUCUAUCAUUUUAUUUAGUUUUCUUUUUUGCUCAAAUUGCAUAA